Molecule: non-coding RNA, 140 nt
Organism: Nelumbo nucifera (sacred lotus)
Lineage: Eukaryota; Viridiplantae; Streptophyta; Magnoliopsida; Proteales; Nelumbonaceae
Source: Rfam
ACAUAUAACAAGCUUCUGCGUGAAUCCAACCCCAUCAAAUCACCGUUGCAUUGCUACAAUAUCGUUAAUUACGAAUCUGGAGCCACUCAGAUUAUUGAAAAAGAUGGUGUUAGAUUCACGCACAAGCUCGCUAUAUGUCU